This 331-nucleotide ribosomal RNA is filed under the name uncultured bacterium. RNAcentral's name for it is "bacterial SSU rRNA". It matches the Rfam family "Bacterial small subunit ribosomal RNA", at positions 161 to 507 of the family's 1533-position model. The record is from RNAcentral.
UGCUAAUACCGCAUAAGCGCACAGUAUCGCAUGAUACCGUGUGAAAAACUCCGGUGGUAUGAGAUGGACCCGCGUCUGAUUAGCUAGAUGGCGGGGUAACGGCCCACCAUGGCGACGAUCAGUAGCCGGUCUGAGAGGAUGAACGGCCACAUUGGGACUGAGAUACGGCCCAGACUCCUACGGGAGGCAGCAGUGGGGAAUAUUGGGCAAUGGGGGAAACCCUGACCCAGCAACGCCGCGUGAAGGAAGAAGGCCUUCGGGUUGUAAACUUCUUUUACCAGGGACGAAGAACGUGACGGUACCUGGAGAAAAAGCAACGGCUAACUACGUG